AUUUAUAUAGUUUAAAUAAAACAUUACAUUUUCACUGUAAAAAUAAAGAUCACUUUUAUAAAUA
RNAcentral lists this transfer RNA (64 nucleotides) under Parrhinotermes sp. A MW-2019. RNAcentral's name for it is "tRNA-Glu". It matches the Rfam family "tRNA". Rfam says of the family: Transfer RNA (tRNA) molecules are approximately 80 nucleotides in length. Their secondary structure includes four short double-helical elements and three loops (D, anti-codon, and T loops). Further hydrogen bonds mediate the characteristic L-shaped molecular structure. tRNAs have two regions of fundamental functional importance: the anti-codon, which is responsible for specific mRNA codon recognition, and the 3' end, to which the tRNAs corresponding amino acid is attached (by aminoacyl-tRNA synthetases). tRNAs cope with the degeneracy of the genetic code in two manners: having more than one tRNA (with a specific anti-codon) for a particular amino acid; and 'wobble' base-pairing, i.e. permitting non-standard base-pairing at the 3rd anti-codon position. RNAcentral also lists the same sequence under 1 other name. Lineage: Eukaryota; Metazoa; Arthropoda; Insecta; Blattodea; Rhinotermitidae. The record is from RNAcentral.